AAUCACAAACAAUCUUGUGUUGUCAGUGUCAGUUUGGUGUAAAAAAGCAGCAAAGGACUCAGUGGUACUAUACAACCAUCAGGGAAGAGAAUCUUAGCAAACAAAGCCCUGGUGAUGGGGAAGAGCUGAUAAAUACAAAGAAUAUUCAGAAAAGUGAAAGUGUCAAAGUUAGAUGGGGAAGGUUGGUUAAGAAGACUUCACAGAGCCAAUGCAACUUUAUUCUUUCAUUUAUUGAGCAGAUGCUUGUUGAGCCUUUUCCACAUGUCAAGAACUCAGGUUCUAGAGAAGUUUCAGUGGAAUAGAGUCAGGCUCAUUCUUGGUCUCAUGGGGCUGACAUUCUACAGGAAAAAUAAGACAAUAAACAUGUAAAACAUUAACGAAAGUAUAACUUUAUAUAGAGAUAAAUGCUACAAAGGAGUUAAUGGAGUGUAAUGGACUAGAAAGUGAUAGAAAGGUGGAGGGAUUCCUUUAGAUGCUAUGAUGAGGGAACUCUCUCAGAAAUGUGACAUUAGAGCUUUUGGCUGAAUGAAUAAAUGUAUCUUUCUUUCUCAGUUCUGAAAAGGAAAAGUUUUAAAAACCAAAUUGAACUACUAGAAAGAAGCCCAUAGAGUGGGUGUGAGCCACUGAGUUUAUUAGAAUCCCUCCAAAAAAUUGGGAACAAUUACUUCUUUGUUCUACUUUCUUUGACAUUUGAGAUAAGAUGCAGACUUACUGGACUUUUCUUUCUCACCCAAAUAUUGUGCUUGUGCUUGCGAUGCAGAGAAAAUAGGAAAACUCUGAGUGAGGAGACGCCUCUCUGCAGUGUCGGAAGUGAAAAAUCCUUAUCAAUUUUUCAGGGUGUAGUUCUAAGAGAAAGAGGACAUCAUCCUUUCUCACUUGAUGCCCACAGUUUUUCUCUCCUGGCAGCAGCCAUAGCUCCAGGUGGAAAAGGCAACCUACUCAUUGAGGAAGUUCUAACCUCUGCAGUCCGGGCUCCCUGGAAGAGUGACCAUGGAGGUCACGUUUUGAAACUGACAGCAUCACAAGAUGGAAGAAUCUUUGACUACUGAGUCACAGAGUCAGCCAGGAGUGCUGUCCAACUCUGAACACCUGCAUUGGAUUUUAGUGAUUAAGAAAUAAAUUUGUAUUGUCUUAUGCA
This is a long non-coding RNA of Vulpes vulpes (red fox), 1138 nucleotides long. Lineage: Eukaryota; Metazoa; Chordata; Mammalia; Carnivora; Canidae. The record is from Ensembl.